This 448-nucleotide ribosomal RNA is filed under the name uncultured bacterium. RNAcentral describes it as "bacterial SSU rRNA". It matches the Rfam family "Bacterial small subunit ribosomal RNA", at positions 335 to 801 of the family's 1533-position model. The record is from RNAcentral.
ACUCCUACGGGAGGCAGCAGUGGGGAAUAUUGCGCAAUGGGGGCAACCCUGACGCAGCCAUGCCGCGUGAGUGAAGAAGGCCUUAGGGUUGUAAAACUCUUUCAGUGGUGAAGAUAAUGACGGUAGCCACAGAAGAAGCCCCGGCCAACUCCGUGCCAGCAGCCGCGGUAAUACGGAGGGGGCUAGCGUUGUUCGGAAUUACUGGGCGUAAAGCGCGCGUAGGCGGACUGGUCAGUUGGGGGUGAAAUCCCGGGGCUUAACCUCGGAACUGCCUUCAAUACUGCCAGUCUUGAGUUCGAGAGAGGUAAGCGGAAUUCCUAGUGUAGAGGUGAAAUUCGUAGAUAUUAGGAAGAACACCGGUGGCGAAGGCGGCUUACUGGCUCGAUACUGACGCUGAGGCGCGAAAGCGUGGGGAGCAAACAGGAUUAGAUACCCUGGUAGCUACGAG